RNAcentral lists this long non-coding RNA (1945 nucleotides) under Sus scrofa (pig). Its description in RNAcentral is "lncRNA (ENSSSCG00005006584.1)". The record is from RNAcentral. Lineage: Eukaryota; Metazoa; Chordata; Mammalia; Artiodactyla; Suidae.
AAAGCAAAUCCACUUUUGAUCAAACCAGAAGUUGGGACUUGGUGCCUCGUUGCAUUGGGGUAGUGGAGGAAGGAGCGGGGGUCUUCGGUAUCUGCUAUGCUGGGUGUUAGAUUUGGCUGAGAGUAAAAGGUGCCAUUCAGCAAAAUGUAGAAACAAAGGAGGGAAAGGAGGUUUUGAGAGAAGACGAUGUGUAUGAGACUUUCUAGGAGUGCGGCGACCUGAAUGCUCAAACACUUCCCCACUAAAACAUUGUAAUCUGGAUAAAACAUUUUUCAUGCACGUCUGGGGGUCACAAGAACUAAAAUCGCAGCUAACCACCAAUUGGUAAAGUAAAAUCCAAGCUGGGGGCUUUCUGUGUAAAGAUGGGUUGCCUCAAGAGUAAAUGCUGAUGUCACCAACGCAGUUGGAGACUAAGCCUUGGGUGCGUGGCAGUAUUAGAAGAGCCUGCAUUCCAUUAGGAUCUGUGCAAGAAGAUGGAGUGACCCAGGUUUUGGCAGAAGCAAAUGCAGAUACUUUCUGGAAGAAGGCAUUCAUGCCUAUGUUAGACCUUAGAAUUCUCCAGACUAAGAUGAGCCAAAUGAGAGUUCAGAAAUCAAAGAUUUCUAACCCUACUAGAAAACAAGCCACAAGGAAUGAGAGUCACCAGAAAUAAAUGAGCAAGAAAUUUAGGGAGUCCCCCCCCCAAAAAAAAAAUAAACUUAGGGAGUUCCCGUUGUGGCUUAGCAUAUUAAGAAUUCUGCUAGUAACCAUGAGGAUGCAGGUUGGAUCCUUGGCCUCACUCAGUGGAUUAAAGUACCUGGCAUUGCUAGGAACUGCGGUGUAGGAUCCAAGCAGACAUGGCUUGGAUCUGGUGUUGCUGUGGCUAUGGUGUAGGCUGGCAGCUGCAGCUCUAAUUCGACACCUAGCCCAGGAACCUCCACAUGCUGUGGGUUUGGCCCUUAAGAAAAAAGAAAAAAAUGAAACAACAAUAGAUUUAGAACCCUGAGGACUUUAGAUAUUAAAAUUACCUGAUACAGAUGUAAAGUAACCAUAUUUGAAAUACUUUAAGAAAUAAAAUAUAUAAUCAUGAAUAAGUACAAAGAGCAUAGAAUAAAAAUUGACCAGGCAUGGGGAAGGGAUGAGGGGAUAAAUUGGGAGUAUGGGAUUAACUGAUGUACCCUACUGUAUAUAAAAUAGAUAAACAACGAGGAUUUAUUAUAUAGCAUAGGGGACUAUAUUCAGUAUCUUGUAAUAAACUAUAAUGAAAAAGAAUCAGGAAAAAAAUAAUAUAGAUAAAUACAUUUGUAUAUGUAUAACUGAAUCCCUUUGCUGUAUACUUGAAACUAACACACUGUUGUAAAUCAACUAUACUUCAGUUAAAAUAUUGACCAGGCAUAUUAUUCAGCCAUAAAAAAGAAGGAAGUUCUGCCAUUUGUGACAACACGGAUGGACCUUAAAGGCAUUAUGCUAAAGUGAAAUAAGUCAGAUAGAGAAAGACAUCACUGUAUGAUCUCACUUAUCUGUGGAAUCUAAGAAGGAAAACCAAACUCAUAGAAACAGAAUAGAUUAGUUGUUGCCAGAGGUGGGGGAUGGGGAAACAUGUGAAGGUGGUCAAGAUACAAACUUGCAGUUACAAGAAAAGUAAGUUCUAGGUGGAUAAUGUACAGCAUGGUCCCUAUAUAUAUACACGUAUGUGUGUAUAUAUGUGUGUGUAUAUAUAUAUAUAUAUAUAUAUUUAGGGCCACACCUGAGGCAUGUGGAAGUUCCCAGGCUAGGAGUCAAAUCAAAGCUAUUCCUGCCAGCCUCUGUAGUUGUGUCACAGACGUGGCUCGGAUCCCCUGUUGCUGUGGCUCUGGUGUAGAUGGGUGGCUACAGCGCCGAUUAGACCCCUAGCUUCAGAACUCCAUAUGCCGAGGGAGGGGCCCUAGAAAAGGUAAAAAGCCAAAAAAAAAAAAAAAAAAAAAAA